UACGUAGGGUGCAAGCGUUGUCCGGAAUCAUUGGGCGUAAAGCGCGCGUAGGUGGUCAUGUAAGUCCGCUGUGAAAGUCAAAGGCUCAACCUUUGAAAGCCGGUGGAUACUGCAUGACUAGAGUACGGAAGAGGCGAGUGGAAUUCCUGGUGUAGCGGUGGAAUGCGCAGAUAUCAGGAGGAACACCAAUAGCGAAGGCAGCUCGCUGGGACGUUACUGACACUGAGGAGCGAAAGCGUGGGGAGCGAACAGG
This 253-nucleotide ribosomal RNA is filed under the name uncultured bacterium. RNAcentral's name for it is "partial 16S ribosomal RNA". It matches the Rfam family "Bacterial small subunit ribosomal RNA", at positions 524 to 776 of the family's 1533-position model. The record is from RNAcentral.